GUAACGCGUGAGUAACCUGCCUUUCAGAGGGGAUAACGUUCUGAAAAGAACGCUAAUACCGCAUGAGACUACAGAGCUGCAUGGCUCAGUGGUCAAAGGAGCAAUCCGCUGAAAGAUGGACUCGCGUCCGAUUAGAUAGUAGGCGGGGUAACGGCCCACCUAGUCGACGAUCGGUAGCCGGACUGAGAGGUUGAACGGCCACAUUUGGGGACUGAGACACGGCCCAGACUCCUACGGGGAGGCAGCAUG
This 249-nucleotide ribosomal RNA is filed under the name uncultured bacterium. RNAcentral describes it as "partial 16S ribosomal RNA". It matches the Rfam family "Bacterial small subunit ribosomal RNA", at positions 110 to 353 of the family's 1533-position model. The record is from RNAcentral.